UGUUCCAUCAAUCCAAACAUAGCCUUAGGUUUCCAUUCAAUGGAAGGAGCAAAUAGAUUUUGAGCUCUAUCUGUUGGUGAAAGAUGACCAUGCAGCGACGCCGACGACGAAGGAGGAGCACGGCGGAGAACCCUUCGCUCUCUUCCGUUCUUCUCCCUGACGAGUUGAUUGAAGCGAUUCUGGUGAGACUACCAGUGAGUUCUCUUCUCCGAUUCAAAUCAGUGUGCAAAUCGUGGCUCUCUGUAAUUUCCGAUCCCCAAUUUGCGAAAUCCCAAUUUGACCUAGCUGCUUCACCCACCCACCGUCUCCUUCUCAGUGUCACUGAUGACCUCAAAUUCCAAUCCUUAGACAUUGAUUCAUCACCACCCAAUGACGAUGAAUCUGCAGUGCUCAACUACCCGCGUGAACAGCAGCCUUAUUCUCAUGGUAAUACUUUAUUUUCUAGCCUUCGGGUCCUGGGUUCUUGCAGAGGGUUUCUACUUUUACUUUCACGUUCACCCAAUCAACCAGGAGGUCAUUUCAUUGUGUGUAAUCCAUCAACGGGUUUCCAUAGAAAAAUUCCAUCAUCUUAUAGUUUUAGUGAUUAUACGCAUUUUCAGUAUGGUUUUGGGUAUGAUCAAUCAACUGAUGACUACUUGUUAGUUUCUAUUAAUUCGUUUCCCGGUGAUCCUAGUUCUUCAAUUAAGUUGUUUUCUUUGAAAACCAAUUUAACAUGCUCGCUGCCACUGGAUAAUGAAUAUCACUAUCUCGAUUGUGGUUGUCCAAGCGAUUUGUUCUUACAUGGGUCCCUUCAUUGGUUGGUUACGUCUAGAAUUACGAGGCUUCAUGUACUUCUUGCUUUUGAUUUGGUAGGGAAGAGUUUAUCAAAGAUUGCUCAGUCACCUGAUUUAGCUCAGCAGUUGAACAAUAAACCAUAUGAUUUAAGGGAGAUGGCAGGAUGUCUUGCUCUAUGUUACUCUGCUUAUGGUGAAAUGGCUGAAAUGUGGAUAAUGAAAGAGUAUAAAGUGCAAUCAUCUUGGACUAAGAUUGUUUUCUCUACUCAUGAUGAAUCACCCUGCUUUUUUCCAAUAUGUUUCACUAAAUGUGGUGAUGUAUUUGGAUCAGAUGAGUUUGGAAGAUUAUUGAGACUCAACGAUAAAGGAAAGCUACUUCCAGUUUAUCCGUGGGAUUGGUCUUGGGAGAGCAGAUAUCGUCUAUUAUAUAGUCGUAUGUAUACAGCAAGUAUACUGUCACUCCCUAGUUAAUUUGCGGACCAACAAAAAACAGACAUGAAGUAUCAAUGCUUGAAGCAUGCAAGGAUACUCUUAAUAGUCAGGUCAAUGUCCUAGCUUUCCUUCAAAUGAUGAUACUACAAGAAGAAAACAUGAUGUGAAAAAGUCUUGUAUAACCGAUGAAAAAUAAUGGAUGGAUGUAGAAAAUCAGCUUGAAACUACUUAAAUACAUGGAAGAUCAUGUCUCUUGCCAGUAAAUAUAUGAUGCAAGGAAAGUGUGAUACUGUUUCAGUUACUGGUUUGAUGUUUACCAAGUCUACACUUUUUUUUAUGAUAAUCUUUCUGCAGAUAGCAAAGCUCUAGAAUCUGGGAUCAAGUGGUAGAGAUGUAUACUAACACCAUAGCUUGAGAGUUGGACAAGUUUGUGCACUCUUUUCAAGGGCACACAUACUAGAGUUGAUUUUGUCUUGAAAGAUAUUGGUAAUGGUUAAAUAUGUUUUUCGUCCCUGAACUUUGAGCGAGAUUUGGUAUUCGUCCCUCGCCGGAGUAAAAGCCGAGAUAGACCCCUAAACAUAAGGGAAAUAGUUGGUUUUAGUCCCUUCCGGGGUGGUGGCGCUGACCACCGCGGCCACAUGUCACGACAAGCUACGAUGAUAAUCUGGACCUAUUAUAAUGUUUGACCUAACGUCUGCUCUUUUUGUCUUAGAUAAUGACAUUUUAGAUGUUAAAUAUUAAAACUUUUCAAUUGUAUGUAAGGUGUUUGAUGUGCAGUUGAAGGAGAAAUCAGUGAUGGUUGUUAGCA
This is an RNA transcript of Lotus japonicus, 2013 nucleotides long. It is a transcript of the gene named F-box/kelch-repeat protein At3g06240-like, with no coding region annotated. The record is from RefSeq and is a predicted model, not a curated record. Lineage: Eukaryota; Viridiplantae; Streptophyta; Magnoliopsida; Fabales; Fabaceae. The transcript is spliced from 4 exons.